Long non-coding RNA from Choloepus didactylus (southern two-toed sloth), 434 nucleotides. RefSeq lists it as uncharacterized. The record is from RefSeq and is a predicted model, not a curated record. The transcript is spliced from 3 exons. NCBI's taxonomy places the organism in Eukaryota, Metazoa, Chordata, Mammalia, Pilosa, Megalonychidae.
ACACUGAUGCCCACAUCCUGAGAGAAAGUUGGUAGAAUGUGAGUCUUCUAAGAGGAAGAAAAACAAAAAACUGGAAAGAUUCUCUUUCUGCAGAUUGUCUAUAUUACUGCUCAGAACCACCAAAAUCCACAAAACAAUGAGGCUGUUGUGAAAUCACAUGAGGGUUGUGUGAUGGUUGGAUUCAUGUGUCAACUUGGCCAGGUUAUGUCACCCAGGUGUCUGCUUUCAAUACUUAGUGCUUGGACUGCCUGAGGGUGAAAAACUGGAGGAAGACUGUUGGUGGAACUAUUGACAAUGCAACCGCUGGAAUCAGUGACCUUCAGUGAUGUAGCUAUGAACUUUUCCAGGGAAGAGUGGGCCUUGCUGGACACAACCCAGAGAAAGCUGUUCAGAGAUGUUAUGCUGGAGAAUAUCAAUCAUCUGGUGACUGUGGG